GUAUAAGGCAAAAGGUAACAAGCAGACUCCGCGAGAAGGGUCUGGCUGCAGACCAUGGGCGAGUGGAGCUCCACUUUCAAACCGGAAAUACGUCACCUCCACUUGAAAACAUCAAGAUGGCGUCGCCGGGAGUACUUCAAACUUAAACUCAGGGAUAGGAUUGGCAUAGAAGAUGCAGCACUCUUUACAUUUUAAAUAUCAAAAUGUAUAUCAAGUGUUAUCCAUCCUCAUAACACCUCCACAAAUAGAGACUGAAACUUCUGAGCACCAUCACCUUGUCUGCUAUGGGACUGUCAUAGCCCAGCAAUCAGAUGCAUCAGAACAACAAAGCACAACUGUGGUGGACCAGGCACCUUCAGCAACAAGUAAAUUGCUUUAACAUUAAUGAUAAUUAAAUGUCAGUAUUGUAAUUAAACUUGACCCAUCUGACGUAAUUGUUCAUGCCAGAGAUUUAACAACACUGUCAGUCAGGAGCAUAUUUAACAGGAGCCACACUCAACUGGCUUGAUGGUGACUUCAGUGCAGUGAAGAUAUUUAAAAAGACACUAUCUAAAGUACAGAAAGCCGUACAUAAUCUCUAGUUGCAGUCGCCUACAGUGCAGCCAGCUUCACAAAGACUGUGGGGCUGGUCACCAGGAAAAUGGCCAACAAGGAGUGCUUUUGGGGUUUUACUCCUCAGAUGACCACCCUGGCUACUGUAGCUGGGAUUGCUUCACAGACAAUGAAGGUCUUGAAGAGUAAAGUGUGCAUGCAUGUGAACACAUUGUGUUAUUACAGUAACAAUUAUGGUCACUUGCAGUUCAUGUCUUUUCAAUGUAGUGUAAGAUGUGUUAAUUAUUAUUAUUACUCAAAAACCAUUAAAACUUCUAAAUUGUGGAAGUUAUUCUUCAUAAUUUUACUGUGGUUAUUUUGUAUAUGUUGUUAUUUUGAUUAAAAUACAAAAUUCAACACACAUAAUUC
Long non-coding RNA from Carassius auratus (goldfish), 960 nucleotides. RefSeq lists it as uncharacterized. The record is from RefSeq and is a predicted model, not a curated record. Lineage: Eukaryota; Metazoa; Chordata; Actinopteri; Cypriniformes; Cyprinidae. The transcript has 5 exons.